This 422-nucleotide long non-coding RNA is filed under the name Hordeum vulgare. Its description in RNAcentral is "long non-coding RNA (HVUL_LNC011655)". The record is from RNAcentral. Lineage: Eukaryota; Viridiplantae; Streptophyta; Magnoliopsida; Poales; Poaceae.
UAUUCUAGCUUAUAUAUGUUUUGUUUCAAAACCACAAAUUCAACAACACAUAACAUAUAUAUGAAAUAUAUAAUACAUAAUAUGUGCCCAAUAGUUUUACUGAUCCACAACACAUAACAUAUAUGCAAAGUUGCAUAACAAAUUUCAUGAUCCAUAUAUUAAAACUCCAUAGCAUCCAUACAUCCAAAAUUCCAUAGCAUCCAUAUAUACAUAUAGUUCCAUAGCAUCCAUACAUACAUAGCUCCAUAACAAAUAUAGUUCCAUAGCAUCCAUUCAUUAUUCACAUACAAUUUUUUGAGCUAGAAUAUUUUUAGUUUGUAUUAAUAUGUUACCAUUAUUAUUUUAGAUGAAAAAAAAAAGACAACUAUGGCUCCAAAGGUUUGCUUUAUGUCUUCAUGCCACAUAAGUAAACGAAGUAGAAG